RNAcentral lists this ribosomal RNA (660 nucleotides) under uncultured bacterium. RNAcentral describes it as "bacterial SSU rRNA". It matches the Rfam family "Bacterial small subunit ribosomal RNA", at positions 94 to 788 of the family's 1533-position model. The record is from RNAcentral.
AGUGGCGGACGGGUGAGUAACGCGUGAGAAUCUGCCUCUUGGUUGGGGACAACAGUUGGAAACGACUGCUAAUACCCAAUGUGCCGCAAGGUGAAAGAUUUAUUGCCAAGAGAGGAGCUCGCGUCUGAUUAGCUAGUUGGUGGGGUAAAAGCCUACCAAAGCAUCGAUCAGUAGCUGGUCUGAGAGGAUGAGCAGCCACACUGGGACUGAGACACGGCCCAGACUCCUACGGGAGGCAGCAGUGGGGAAUUUUCCGCAAUGGGCGAAAGCCUGACGGAGCAAUACCGCGUGAGGGAGGAAGGCUCUUGGGUUGUAAACCUCUUUUCUCAGGGAAGAAGAUCUGACGGUACCUGAGGAAUAAGCAUCGGCUAACUCCGUGCCAGCAGCCGCGGUAAUACGGAGGAUGCAAGCGUUAUCCGGAAUUAUUGGGCGUGAAGCGUCCGCAGGUGGUUACUCAAGUCUGCUGUCAAAGACCAGAGCUUAACUCUGGAAAGGCGGUGGAAACUGAGGAACUAGAGUCCGGUAGGGGUAGCGGGAAUUCCCAGUGUAGCGGUGAAAUGCGUAGAUAUUGGGAAGAACAUCGGUGGCGAAGGCGCGCUACUGGGCCGGAACUGACACUCAGGGACGAAAGCUAGGGUAGCGAAAGGGAUUAGAUACCCC